GAGUUUGAUCCUGGCUCAGGACGAACGCUGGCGGCGCGCCUAACACAUGCAAGUCGAACGAGCGAGAGAGAGCUUGCUUUCUCAAGCGAGUGGCGAACGGGUGAGUAACGCGUGAGGAACCUGCCUCAAAGAGGGGGACAACAGUUGGAAACGACUGCUAAUACCGCAUAAGCCCACGGUGCCGCAUGGCACAGAGGGAAAAGGAGCAAUCCGCUUUGAGAUGGCCUCGCGUCCGAUUAGCUAGUUGGUGAGGUAAUGGCCCACCAAGGCAACGAUCGGUAGCCGGACUGAGAGGUUGAACGGCCACAUUGGGACUGAGACACGGCCCAGACUCCUACGGGAGGCAGCAGUGGGGAAUAUUGCACAAUGGGGGAAACCCUGAUGCAGCGACGCCGCGUGGAGGAAGAAGGUCUUCGGAUUGUAAACUCCUGUUGUUGAGGAAGAUAAUGACGGUACUCAACAAGGAAGUGACGGCUAACUACGUGCCAGCAGCCGCGGUAAAACGUAGGUCACAAGCGUUGUCCGGAAUUACUGGGUGUAAAGGGAGCGCAGGCGGGAAGACAAGUUGGAAGUGAAAUCUAUGGGCUCAACCCAUAAACUGCUUUCAAAACUGUUUUUCUUGAGUAAUGCAGAGGUAGGCGGAAUUCCCGGUGUAGCGGUGGAAUGCGUAGAUAUCGGGAGGAACACCAGUGGCGAAGGCGGCCUACUGGGCACCAACUGACGCUGAGGCUCGAAAGUGUGGGUAGCAAACAGGAUUAGAUACCCUGGUAGUCCACACCGUAAACGAUGAUUACUAGGUGUUGGAGGAUUGACCCCUUCAGUGCCGCAGUUAACACAAUAAGUAAUCCACCUGGGGAGUACGACCGCAAGGUUGAAACUCAAAGGAAUUGACGGGGGCCCGCACAAGCAGUGGAGUAUGUGGUUUAAUUCGACGCAACGCGAAGAACCUUACCAAGUCUUGACAUCCCUUGACGAUGCUGGAAACAGUAUUUCUCUUCGGAGCAAGGAGACAGGUGGUGCAUGGUUGUCGUCAGCUCGUGUCGUGAGAUGUUGGGUUAAGUCCCGCAACGAGCGCAACCCUUAUGGUCAGUUACUACGCAAGAGGACUCUGGCCAGACUGCCGUUGACAAAACGGAGGAAGGUGGGGAUGACGUCAAAUCAUCAUGCCCUUUAUGACUUGGGCUACACACGUACUACAAUGGCGUUAAACAAAGAGAAGCAAGACCGCGAGGUGGAGCAAAACUCAGAAACAACGUCCCAGUUCGGACUGCAGGCUGCAACUCGCCUGCACGAAGUCGGAAUUGCUAGUAAUCGCAGAUCAGCAUGCUGCGGUGAAUACGUUCCCGGGCCUUGACACACCGCCCGUCAAGGGAG
Molecule: ribosomal RNA, 1374 nt
Filed under: uncultured bacterium
Lineage: Bacteria
Description: bacterial SSU rRNA
Rfam family: Bacterial small subunit ribosomal RNA
Source: RNAcentral